This 406-nucleotide ribosomal RNA is filed under the name uncultured bacterium. Its description in RNAcentral is "partial 16S ribosomal RNA". It matches the Rfam family "Bacterial small subunit ribosomal RNA", at positions 29 to 526 of the family's 1533-position model. The record is from RNAcentral.
AUUGAACGCUGGCGGCAGGCCUAACACAUGCAAGUCGAACGAGUGGCGGACGGGUGAGUAAUGUCUGGGAAACUGCCUGAUGGAGGGGGAUAACUACUGGAAACGGUAGCUACUACCGCAUACCAUCAGAUGUGCCCAGAUGGGAUUAGCUUGUUGGUGGGGUAACGGCGCACCAAGGCGACGAUCCCUAGCUGGUCUGAGAGGAUGACCAGCCACACGGGAACGGAGAAACGGGCCAGACGCCUACGGGAGGCAGCAGUGGGGAAUAUUGAACAAUGGGCGCAAGCCUGAUGCAGACAUGCCGCGUGUAUGAAGAAGGCCUGCGGGUUGUAAAGUACUUUCAGCGGGGAGGCGUUACCCGAAGAAGAAGCGCCGGCUAACUCCGUGCCAGCAGCCGCGGUAAUAC